This 596-nucleotide ribosomal RNA is filed under the name Megasporoporiella lacerata. RNAcentral describes it as "partial small subunit ribosomal RNA". It matches the Rfam family "Bacterial small subunit ribosomal RNA", at positions 401 to 984 of the family's 1533-position model. Lineage: Eukaryota; Fungi; Basidiomycota; Agaricomycetes; Polyporales; Polyporaceae. The record is from RNAcentral.
GUGGCCGGCGAUGACUAGCUACUGAAUCAAAGAGUUUAUUUAAACUCAUGAUGUCGUAAGGGAAAAUAAUGAUAGUACCUUACUAUUAGUGUCGUCCAAAUCUGGUGCCAGAAGACUCGGUAAGACCAGAGACGCAAACGUUAAUCAUCAUAAUCAGGCGUAAAGGGUUUGUAGGCAGCUUUCACCAGACUAUAUCCCAGCCUACUUUGCCUACCUCCUUUGGCAGGCUGUGUAGGUAGGAAAAAAAUAAAGUAGUUUAAUUGAAAGCUAGAAUCAAAAAGAGGUUAUAGUGUAUAACGCCUAGAGGAGGGCUGAUAUCCAUAGAUCCUAGGCAGAAUACUCAGGGCGAAGGCCACUCUCCACUAAUGAUUGACGCUGAGAAACGAAGGUUAGGGUAGGAAAUAGGAUUAGAUACCCCGGUACUCCUUUCUGUAAACGAUGAAUGGUAGUCAUUAGUUUUUUAACUAGAGACGAAGUUAACACAAUAACCAUUCCGCCUUGUGAGUACUACUGCAAAGUAGAAAACAAAAAAAUUAGUCGGUCUCGAAGCAAACGGAGUGAAGCAUGUUAUUUAAUAAAAAUAUUCCCGCAAACGG